GAUGAACGCUGGCGGCGUGCCUAAUACAUGCAAGUCGAGCGAACGGACGAGAAGCUUGCUUCUCUGAUGUUAGCGGCGGACGGGUGAGUAACACGUGGAUAACCUACCUAUAAGACUGGGAUAACUUCGGGAAACCGGAGCUAAUACCGGAUGAUAUUUUGAACCGCAUGGUUCAAAAGUGAAAGACGGUCUUGCUGUCACUUAUAGAUGGAUCCGCGCUGCAUUAGCUAGUUGGUAAGGUAACGGCUUACCAAGGCAACGAUGCAUAGCCGACCUGAGAGGGUGAUCGGCCACACUGGAACUGAGACACGGUCCAGACUCCUACGGGAGGCAGCAGUAGGGAAUCUUCCGCAAUGGGCGAAAGCCUGACGGAGCAACCCCGCGUGAGUGAUGAAGGUCUUCGGAUCGUAAAACUCUGUUAUUAGGGAAGAACAUAUGUGUAAGUAACUGUGCACAUCUUGACGGUACCUAAUCAGAAAGCCACGGCUAACUACGUG
Molecule: ribosomal RNA, 497 nt
Filed under: uncultured bacterium
Lineage: Bacteria
Description: partial 16S ribosomal RNA
Rfam family: Bacterial small subunit ribosomal RNA
Source: RNAcentral